UAAACUAUAGUUUAAUUCUGUUUUUGACCACGUCCUCUCAGACAUUAUAAACUAUAGUUUAAUUCUGUGUUUGACCACGUCCUCUCAGACAUUUUAAACUAGAUUAGUUAAUCAGUCACCUCAUCAGCCCAGUCCAAAGGUCAACUAAAGCUUUACUUUAGACGCUCCAUUUUGUUUUCAUUGGGAAGGCUGCCUUUCAGCGACAGAAAAACAAAGUAACCAAGAUAUGUUGACGAAAGAUCUCUGAAAGCGUCAGCAUGCAGCAUAAGUUUGAAUGGGUAUGACAGCACUGCAAUUAUUAAAUAUACGAAAUAAAUCAGCCAAUCUCGAGUGACGCGUCUAAAUGGUGGUGCUACAAUUAAAAUGGGAGUAGGCCUACACAGCCUUCAGAAAACUUUUUUGUAUUGACUGUCUUGAAUAAUAUUAGCAUGAAUUUUGACUAAGUCACACUCAUGCUGCAAUGAAGCAGUGAAGCAGUGAUGUUGUUGAUGACCUUGGCCUUGCAAAAUGUCCAUAUUCAUGAACCAUGGAGCAUAAACAUUUUACUCCACAUCCAUUCAAUUUACCCACUCAAUUGUGACAUCUAUUGUUAGAGGCAAACCGAUAUAUGAACACUGUCUUCAGAUACUUGGCCUGGAUUUACUUAUUUCCAAGAUUCAAUGCUACCGAGAAUGUUGCCGUAAAUGCGAAGUUCAAACAUGUAAAAGUUUGACACCAAAUGCAGAGGACAGAAUGGAUCAGCAUCAGGGCUACAGCAGCCUUCUAGUGGUAUUACAGUACUUUGGUGGACUGUAUCUUGUGUUGAUGUAUGAAAUUUACUGCAUUGGAAAUACUGCAGUAAAUACGUAGCAUAUUCAAGCCUAUAUAGUGCAGUAACACGUGCAAUUUUAGCAUAUGGCUGUAAUGAAACAUAUUGCAGCAUUUUAGAAUUAUUUAUUCACUGUAAUAUUACAAACUUUAUUACUGUAGUCCAAAGAAGUGUUUGUCUGUGUGUGAUGCAACACUACAGUAAUCUAUUCCAAACUGGAGGAUACAGCAACAUUUGAUAUAUGCAAUUGGCAAUGCUUCAAGUUGUUAGUGUUUUUUAGGUCAUUGUACUCUGAGAGAGAACAUGUGCUAAAGUUACGGCAGCAUGAGUUGUGUUUUGGUGGUUGUAGUGCAUUUUGCACCUAAGGUUAACUGAUAUGCGGAGGUGUGUGUCUGUAAAGCCCACUGUGUGAAGUGUUUUGGGAAAAGUGUUCAUGGUAUUGAGACAAGAGUUAAAAUGAUUGGAAAAAACUGUAAGGUUCAGAAACUAGGGUGACAAUGUGACUGAAUAAAUUAUUCAUUCAUUCAUUCAUUCAUUUAUUUGCCAUGGACGUUACAGCAGCAUUAGAACUGAAACAUUCAACUAUGCAUAAGCACCAGAUGCCCUGUGUUUAGUGUUUGUAGCGAAACGGCUUAUUUACAACACCUGUCCACGGGAGGCUUUUUAAAAGAAGAAAAGGAUAAGAAAGGAAAACAAGAAGAAUAAAAUAUAAUACAGGUAUACAAAUACAACCUAAUAAAAACACAGGUGUGUCUAUGCAAGGAUAUGAAGUGUGAGAACAACAUGAUUUAACACAUUGGAAACAGUGAAGUUGUGUUGUGGUUCAAAAAUGUAUUUUCGGACCAGCGUUCUCUGCCGAUCACCGCCGAUUACCGACGAUUACAGCGCUCACCAGCUUUCACACAACGCUCUUCUGGCGCUAUACCAGCGACCAUGGACGAUUAUCAACGUUUCCUCUAACGUCAUAGAACAUUGACCAGAACGUUAUGGUGUGACGGGGCCUUUAAGGUCACUUUUGUCCUCGUCGCCAAUAUUCCUGUGGUGUAU
Molecule: long non-coding RNA, 1855 nt
Organism: Clupea harengus (Atlantic herring)
Lineage: Eukaryota; Metazoa; Chordata; Actinopteri; Clupeiformes; Clupeidae
Source: Ensembl